UGGGGACGGGCUGAUUGUGAGACUGACACGUAAGUAGUGAAGUGAUCUGAUUUUUUUGACUUUGGAUAAGGCUGAUGUGACAGAAUGAUGUGGCAGGAUUUGGUUGGGUAAUUUAGUCAAAUUAUGUGUGUUUAUUUUUUAGCGAGUGUGCGUGGUAAUUGAGGGAUAAACAUGUUUGACCACCAAGCGAUUAAAGAUAAGC
Molecule: long non-coding RNA, 202 nt
Filed under: Panax ginseng (ginseng)
Lineage: Eukaryota; Viridiplantae; Streptophyta; Magnoliopsida; Apiales; Araliaceae
Description: long non-coding RNA (PGIN_LNC014247)
Source: RNAcentral